Podarcis lilfordi (Lilford's wall lizard) is the source of this 480-nucleotide non-coding RNA. Lineage: Eukaryota; Metazoa; Chordata; Lepidosauria; Squamata; Lacertidae. The record is from the annotation of a GenBank genome assembly.
AACAAUUUACUGACCAAACUUUGCCGCCACCCCUCCCAAUAGUUGCACUUAAUUGCCAAAUUCCUUCAAAUGAAAAAGGGUUUUAUACUGAUACUUUGUUGUUGUUGUUGUUGUUUUUAAAGGAAGUAUAGCAUGCUCUUAUUAAAUCUCUAGGGCAUGAAGGGCAAGUACCACUGAGAGCUCCAAAACCACAAAGUCAUCAGGAUUCUUUGAAAAGUUAAAUUGGCCAAUCUCUUCCAUUAUGCAUAAAAUCCAUUAGAGUUUAGCUGCCUUUUACAACAGCCCCCUGCCUGGCGCUUUUCCAAGGCAACAUCCAAGGACUGCAUUGCUCCUGCUUACCUAUUGUUGUCUAAUCUUGGUAUGGCUGGAAUGUAAUAUGAGGAUAUUCUUUGCACCCUGUUUUGAUUUUUAAAAAAGCCACUGCAAAUGACUCCCUUCAGAAGCAAAUUGGUUUAUCAAUCAAACGCACACAAACGCACA